UACGUAGGCAGCGAGCGUUGUUCGGAAUUACUGGGCGUAAAGAGUGUGUAGGCGGCGCUCUAAGUUCGGUGUGAAAUCUCCUGGCUCAACUGGGAGGGUGCGCCGGAAACUGGAGUGCUUGAGCGUGGGAGAGGAAAGCGGAAUUCCUGGUGUAGCGGUGAAAUGCGUAGAUAUCAGGAGGAACACCUGUGGUGUAGACGGCUUUCUGGACCAUAGCUGACGCUGAGACACGAAAGCGUGGGUAGCAAACAGG
Molecule: ribosomal RNA, 253 nt
Filed under: uncultured bacterium
Lineage: Bacteria
Description: partial 16S ribosomal RNA
Rfam family: Bacterial small subunit ribosomal RNA
Source: RNAcentral